AUCCUUUUGUAGUUCCUAAGUGUGAUGAUUGGGCUCUCACGCAUAUGCAUGAGAUGUGCCUCCCACAAAUCUUGUUAGGUCAGCACAACACCCAUCUGACA
Molecule: small nucleolar RNA, 101 nt
Organism: Otolemur garnettii (small-eared galago)
Lineage: Eukaryota; Metazoa; Chordata; Mammalia; Primates; Galagidae
Source: Ensembl